GAGUCUGUUGGGUCAUUUUGUUGGGUAAUUUAAUUUCUUUUUAAACACUUUUGGGUAGUUUCAAUUUACCAGGUGUUGGGUUAAACCUGCUGGGUUGCAUCGCUGGGUUGUUUCAGGCCAGCGCUGGGUUAUUUAACGCGCCUUGAAGAUGUUUAAAUCGCUCCCCAACUGUCACUUUGGAAGAACAACGGGGCAAAGCCACGGCUUUCAACUGUUUUAAGAAAAGCGCAUGGAUACAUUUGUGAGAGAAAAACUCGUCGAGUGCAGUCUUAUUGAGGCGUCUAACGGUUGGAACAAACAUGGAAUUCCUUAACUGAGCAGAGUCCACAAAACCCCAUCCAAUUGUUGUGGCGAUUUAAAAAUGACAGCAGAUCUCUUAGGCAUUGAUCAUAAUCAAUGGACAGGUCACUGUAGCCACCCGUAUCCAGUUCGUAUCCAGACCAGAUGGAGAUCAUCAUCUAGAAAAGACCUCUACAUCCCUGAAAGACCGCGGAGACCAGGACAACUAGAGCCCCAGAUACAGAUCCCCUGUAAAGACCUUGUCUCAGAGGACCACCAGGACAAGACCACAGGAAACAGAUUCUUCUGCACAAUCUGACUUUGCUGCAGCCUGGAAUUGAUCUACUGGUUUCGUCUGGUCACAGGAGAACUGACCCCCCAACUGAGCCUGGUUUCUCCCAAGGUUUUUUCUCCAUUCUGUCACCGAUGGAGUUUUUGUUCCUUGUUUUUCUUUAGUUGGGUACAAUUAAUAUCAAGCGAUAUCAUCCACUUGAUUGCACAGAGGGACGAUACAUCAAUGAAUCAAUGACGAAUUGACUUUAACUGAAAAUUGAGUGUUUACUUUUGUCCCUUUGCAUUAUUACACACUAUUUUCCUAUUUAAUACUGUAAAGCUGCUAUGAUGCAGUAUUUGAUCAAUAUGACAGGCUUAUUACUCAUAAUACAUGGAAAAUACAGCUACAAACUGACUUUUUCCAUUUGAAAUUUGGCAGUCACUAAACUGAAACCGUAAUUUUUGUUCAGUGUUUUUGAAACAGUGUUUUUGUUCAAGAUUUGCAAUUGUGUUUUGGAAUGUCACAAUUUGUCACAUGUGGAAAACGCAAUUGAAAAUAUAAUUAGCUAUUCCUAAUUAUUAAAAUUGUCCUUCCAUAGACAGGCUCUAUAACGGAGUACACUGCUCUCAGGUGUAGAUCUUUGCUUCAGAGCUUAAGUGUUUGACAAUAGUUCACCCAAAAAUGAAAAUUGUCACUAAUUAUUCAACCUGGUCUGAAAGCUCUCGAAUAUCAACGAAAACAUCUUAACUUGUGUUCUGAAGAUGAACGAAGGGCUUACGGGUUUGUAACGACAUGAAGUUGAGUAAUAAAUGACAGAAUUUUUAUUUUUGGGUGAACUAUAUGUUGAACUACCCUAAGCAGUGCACAUCUACCUACGUAGGAGUCUUUAUAUACUUGAUAUAAAUUUAAGGACAUCUUUAAAUGAUUUUACAUUUAAAUUUAAAGAAUGUUAAUUGUCAAUGUCAUUUCACUGUGUAUUUAAAUAGCUAAAAAUCUCAAAAUGUAAUAGUUAAACAGCUAGACACAGGUCAUUCAGAAAUAAUUUUCUUAUUUAUUGCAACUGUAUUUCUGUGAUUUUUAUUUAUUUAUUUUGCAUUUGCUGGAAACAAAAAAAGGGAAAAUUCCAUGUUGUUUGUCAUUGGUAAAAAAUUUUGAAUGUCAGAUGGCAUUAAAAAUAUUUUUUAACAGUCUAAAUAACCUGUAUUCUUCAUUAUUUAUUAAUCCAUGAUUGCUUUGUUAAGCAAAAGUGAAAUUAUGAGAAUAACCCAGCAAGAAUAACCCAGAAUCAUAAAAAUGCAAACCCACAAAUGGUAAAAAUGACUCUAUCUUGGGUUUUCUCAAUAACCCAGCAUGCUGGGUUAAAAUGUGUAAACCAGCAUGCUGGGUUACUUUAACCCAGCACGUGUUCUGUCCAAUAUUUACCCAGUGCUGGGUUGCCAAUUGGGUUAUUUUUAACCCAGCCAUUUUUAGAGUGUGUAGAUGCCAUGAAAUUUAAAAUCAACUCAUUCUCCCCUUAAAAUGAUACAUUUUCUCAGUUUAAACAUUUGAUAUGUCAUAAUUUUGUAUUCUGAAUAAAAUAUUGAAAUCAUUGCAUUCUG
Carassius gibelio (silver crucian carp) is the source of this 2151-nucleotide long non-coding RNA. RefSeq lists it as uncharacterized. The transcript is spliced from 4 exons. NCBI's taxonomy places the organism in Eukaryota, Metazoa, Chordata, Actinopteri, Cypriniformes, Cyprinidae. The record is from RefSeq and is a predicted model, not a curated record.